RNAcentral lists this unclassified non-coding RNA (312 nucleotides) under plant metagenome. RNAcentral describes it as "partial contains 5.8S ribosomal RNA, internal transcribed spacer 2, and large subunit ribosomal RNA". The stretch from base 1 to 104 matches the Rfam family "5.8S ribosomal RNA", at positions 50 to 154 of the family's 154-position model. The record is from RNAcentral.
AAAAUGCGAUAAGUAAUGUGAAUUGCAAAUUCAGUGAAUCAUCGAGUCUUUGAACGCACAUUGCGCCCCCUGGUAUUCCGGGGGGCAUGCCUGUCCGAGCGUCAUUUCUGCCCUCAAGCACGGCUUGUGUGUUGGGCCCCGUCCUCCGAUCCCGGGGGACGGGCCCGAAAGGCAGCGGCGGCACCGCGUCCGGUCCUCGAGCGUAUGGGGCUUUGUCACCCGCUCUGUAGGCCCGGCCGGCGCUUGCCGAUCAACCCAAAUUUUUAUCCAGGUUGACCUCGGAUCAGGUAGGGAUACCCGCUGAACUUAAGC